UCCAGGGUAGCCUAGUGGACAUGGCAUCUGCCCGGUAAGCAGAACACUGUGGGUUCAAUUCCCAUCUCUGGCC
RNAcentral lists this transfer RNA (73 nucleotides) under Cordylochernes scorpioides. Its description in RNAcentral is "tRNA-Thr". It matches the Rfam family "tRNA". Rfam says of the family: Transfer RNA (tRNA) molecules are approximately 80 nucleotides in length. Their secondary structure includes four short double-helical elements and three loops (D, anti-codon, and T loops). Lineage: Eukaryota; Metazoa; Arthropoda; Arachnida; Pseudoscorpiones; Chernetidae. The record is from RNAcentral.